AUUGAACGCUGGCGGCAUGCUUUACACAUGCAAGUCGAACGGUAACAGGCCGCAAGGUGCUGACGAGUGGCGAACGGGUGAGUAAUGCAUCGGAACGUGCCCAGUCGUGGGGGAUAACUACUCGAAAGAGUAGCUAAUACCGCAUACGAUCUAUGGAUGAAAGCGGGGGACCGUAAGGCCUCGCGCGAUUGGAGCGGCCAAUGUCAGAUUAGGUAGUUGGUGGGGUAAAGGCUCACCAAGCCAACGAUCUGUAGCUGGUCUGAGAGGACGACCAGCCACACUGGGACUGAGACACGGCCCAGACUCCUACGGGAGGCAGCAGUGGGGAAUUUUGGACAAUGGGCGCAAGCCUGAUCCAGCAAUGCCGCGUGCAGGAAGAAGGCCUUCGGGUUGUAAACUGCUUUUGUACGGAACGAAACGGCUCUGGUUAAUACCCGGGGCUAAUGACGGUACCGUAAGAAUAAGCACCGGCUAACUACGUG
Molecule: ribosomal RNA, 482 nt
Filed under: uncultured bacterium
Lineage: Bacteria
Description: partial 16S ribosomal RNA
Rfam family: Bacterial small subunit ribosomal RNA
Source: RNAcentral